GCCGUGGCCUACUGGUUAGCGCUUCGGACUUGUAACCGGAGGGUUGCCGGUUCGAACCCGGAUCAGUAGGCA
This 72-nucleotide transfer RNA is filed under the name Alosa alosa (allis shad). Its description in RNAcentral is "tRNA-OTHER". The record is from RNAcentral. Lineage: Eukaryota; Metazoa; Chordata; Actinopteri; Clupeiformes; Clupeidae.